Molecule: unclassified non-coding RNA, 2977 nt
Filed under: Hevea brasiliensis (rubber tree)
Lineage: Eukaryota; Viridiplantae; Streptophyta; Magnoliopsida; Malpighiales; Euphorbiaceae
Source: RNAcentral
UCUCUCUCCAGAGUUUUUUGGUCUCCGGGAAAUGGUUGCGACGAGACGAAGUGGAUCUCUGCCGUCGACUGUUAAACGGUCGGCCUCCUCCUCCGAUGAUUCUUCUUCUAAGCGACAAAAGGUGGUAGAUAAUAAUAACAAUAAUAAUAAUGCGGAGUCGUCGGAGAAACCCAAGUCUCCUCCACCGACGGAGAAUCCCAAGGAGUUGUCUUCUACUGACCCGCCGGAAUUCGCCGCCGUUACAGCUCCCGACGGUGAGACCACCGCCGUUCCCGCCGCGAAGGGUGAAGAUGCACCUUCCGUAUCCGUUGUAGCAACUCCUAUUGCAGAAGGGGCGACGCCUGCUAUAGUUGAUAAGCCCAGGAGUUCGGUGACUUUGAGGAAGCUGAAUCAAGGUUCGGAAACAACAUCGCCUUGGUGUAGGCUUAUAUCAGAGUUUCCUCAGAACCCAACUAUUCAUGUUUCAGCUACGAAUUUCUUGAUUGGUUCUAGCAAAAAUGCUCAUCUUCCUAUCAAGCAACAAACAGUUAGUGCAACCUUAUGUUCAAUAAGGCUUACACAGCAUGAAGGGAAUUGGGUUGCUGUGCUUGAGAGCAGGGGCAAAGGAUCUGUGCAAGUUAAUGGAAAGACAGUUCGGAGAAGCACUAGUUGCAUUCUCAAUUCAGGCGAUGAGCUUGUUUUUGGUGUUACAGGGAGUCAUGCUUAUAUAUUUGAGCAGCUGCCAUAUGAGCUUGGAGUUAAGUCACCUCCUUCAGAUGUUAGGACCAGUGCAGGAAAAUUGCUUCGCGUUGAGAGAAGAGCAGGAGAUGCGUCAGCUGUAGCAGGUGCUUCCAUUUUGGCAUCGCUUUCAAGCCUGAGGCAAGACCCAUCGCGCUUGAAACCUACGUCUCAGGUUAGUGGGAAUGAGCUGCCUUCUUCCCCUGUUAUUCAUGAAGAUGAGCUUGAUGGCCUCGAAGUCGAUUCAGCUGCACAUGUUGGCAGCAGCAGUGCUGCUGAUGUUUCAUUGACUAGCAAAAUUCCCCCGCUUGAUGGAAACCUGAACGAUAGCAGAGAGGCAGGCAACAUGCCGGAGGAAAGAGAGUGGAACAGAGAUUCAAUACCAGCUUCCGCAGCAGGGGUGUCUCUAAGAUGUGCAGUAUUUAAAGAAGAGAUUCAUGCUGCAAUAGUUGAUGGACAACAACUAGAUGUUUCAUUUGAUAGCUUCCCAUAUUACUUGAGCGAGAACACAAAAAAUGUGCUGAUUGCGGCUUCAUAUAUACACCUGAAGCAUAAAGAACAAGUAAAAUAUACUUCUGAGUUAUCCACUAUCAACCCAAGAAUUCUGCUCUCAGGCCCUGCAGGAUCCGAGAUUUAUCAGGAGAUGCUGGCAAAGGCACUAGCUCAUUAUUAUGGAGCAAAAUUGCUCAUCUUUGAUAGCCAUUCCUUUUUGGGUGGUCUAUCAGCAAAGGAGGCUGAAUUACUAAAAGAGGGAGGCAGUGCACAUAAGAUUUCUGCUAACUCCAAACAGAUUCCUGGAGAACCUGAUUUGUCUAAGGGCAAUGGGUCAUCAUCUGGUCAAGUAACUAAUGCUAACACUCUGACUGAUCCUUUGGGUUUGGAAGCACACCCAAAGAUGGAGAUUGGCAAUGUACCAUCUUUAGCCGGGACAUCAAAGAAUACCUUGUUCAAGAUAGGUGAUAAAGUGAGGUUCAUUGGUUCUGCUUCUGGUGGUUUAUAUUCAAACUCCACCAGGGGGCCAACUUUUGGUACUCGAGGGAAGAUUGUGUUGCCUUUUGAAGAUAAUGCAUUAUCAAAAAUUGGUGUAAGGUUUGAUAAGCCUAUACCAGACGGGGUUAACUUUGGGGGUCUUUGUGAUGAUGGUCAUGGAUUUUUUUGCAAGGCCAGCGAACUACGCUUGGAAUCCACAGGUGCUGAUGAUCUGGACAAAUUACUCAUUAGCACGUUGUUUGAGGUCGUAUUCAGCGAGAGCAGAAAGUCUCCCUUCAUUUUAUUUAUGAAAGAUGCUGAGAAAUCAAUGGCAGGGAGUUCAGAAUCAUAUACAACUUUUAAAAAUCGACUUGAAAAGCUUCCUGGUAACAUCAUUGUUAUUGGAUCUCAUGCACAUACAGAUAACCGCAAGGAAAAGUCACAUCCAGGGGGGUUGCUCUUCACCAAAUUCGGCAGCAAUCAAACUGCUUUGCUCGAUUUGGCUUUCCCGGAUAGUUUUGGGAAGUUGCAUGACAGGGGAAAGGAAGUGACCAAGACAACUAAACUUCUGACAAAGCUUUUCCCCAACAAAGUGACCAUUCACAUGCCACAGGAUGAAGCGCUUUUAUCUGAUUGGAAGCAACAGUUGGAUCGAGAUGCUGAUACCCUCAAAAUGAAAGGAAAUUUGAAUAGCUUGCGAACAGUUCUUAAUCGGAAUGGAUUAGACUGUGAUGGACUUGACACUUUGUGCAUCAAAGACCAGACUUUUUCUGUUGAAAGUGCAGAGAAGGUGGUUGGAUGGGCCUUAAGCCAUCAUUUGAUGCAGAACCCUGAUGCAAAUCCUGACGUGAGGCUUGUUUUGUCUCCUCUGAGCAUUCAAUAUGGAUUGGAAAUUCUACAAGCCAUGCAAAAUGAAAGCAAGAGCUUGAAGAAGUCACUUAAGGAUAUUGUGACUGAGAAUGAAUUUGAAAAGAGACUUCUGGCAGAUGUUAUCCCCCCCAGCGAUAUUGGAGUAACAUUUGAUGAUAUUGGUGCGCUUGAAAAUGUCAAGGAUACGUUAAAAGAGCUGGUCAUGCUUCCUUUACAAAGACCGGAGCUCUUCUGCAAGGGUCAACUAACCAAGCCAUGCAAGGGAAUACUUCUAUUUGGACCCCCCGGAACUGGGAAAACCAUGCUUGCGAAAGCAGUUGCCACUGAAGCCGGUGCAAACUUUAUCAACAUUUCAAUGUCAAGUAUCACUUCAAAGUGGUUUGGCGAGGGUGAGAAAUAUGUGAAAGCUGUCUUCUCCCUG